GCUUAAUACAUGCAAGUCGAGCGGACAGAUGGGAGCUUGCUCCCUGAUGUUAGCGGCGGACGGGUGAGUAACACGUGGGUAACCUGCCUGUAAGACUGGGAUAACUCCGGGAAACCGGGGCUAAUACCGGAUGGUUGUUUGAACCGCAUGGUUCAGACAUAAAAGGUGGCUUCGGCUACCACUUACAGAUGGACCCGCGGCGCAUUAGCUAGUUGGUGAGGUAACGGCUCACCAAGGCGACGAUGCGUAGCCGACCUGAGAGGGUGAUCGGCCACACUGGGACUGAGACACGGCCCAGACUCCUACGGGAGGCAGCAGUAGGGAAUCUUCCGCAAUGGACGAAAGUCUGACGGAGCAACGCCGCGUGAGUGAUGAAGGUUUUCGGAUCGUAAAGCUCUGUUGUUAGGGAAGAACAAGUGCCGUUCAAAUAGGGCGGCACCUUGACGGUACCUAACCAGAAAGCCACGGCUAACUACGUGCCAGCAGCCGCGGUAAUACGUAGGUGGCAAGCGUUGUCCGGAAUUAUUGGGCGUAAAGGGCUCGCAGGCGGUUUCUUAAGUCUGAUGUGAAAGCCCCCGGCUCAACCGGGGAGGGUCAUUGGAAACUGGGGAACUUGAGUGCAGAAGAGGAGAGUGGAAUUCCACGUGUAGCGGUGAAAUGCGUAGAGAUGUGGAGG
This 676-nucleotide ribosomal RNA is filed under the name Bacillus sp. EBI3. Its description in RNAcentral is "bacterial SSU rRNA". It matches the Rfam family "Bacterial small subunit ribosomal RNA", at positions 46 to 704 of the family's 1533-position model. The record is from RNAcentral. Lineage: Bacteria; Bacillati; Bacillota; Bacilli; Caryophanales; Bacillaceae.